ACAAGCAGCGGAGCGUGUGGUUUAAGUUCGAUGAUACGCGAAGAACCUCACCCAGGUUUGACAUGCAUGUGGUACCAAGGUGAAAGCUGAGGGACCCUUCGGGGAGCAUGCACAGGUGUUGCACGGCCGUCGUCAGCUCGUGCCGUGAGGUGUUGGUUAAGUCCCGCAACGAGCGCAACCCCUGUCGCCAGUUGUAUUUUCUGGCGAGACUGCCGAGAAAACCUCGGAGGAAGGAGGGGACGAUGUCAGGUCAGCGUGGCCCUUACGCCUGGGGCUACACACACGCUACAAUGGGCAGUACAACGGGUCGCGAAGCCGCGAGGUGGAGCUAAUCCCAUCAAAGCUGUCCUCAGUUCGGAUUGCAGGCUGAAACCCGCCUGCAUGAAGCCGGAGUUGCUAGUAACCGCAGGUCAGCAUUACUGCGGUGAAUACGUUCCCGGGCCUU
RNAcentral lists this ribosomal RNA (445 nucleotides) under uncultured Chloroflexota bacterium. RNAcentral describes it as "bacterial SSU rRNA". It matches the Rfam family "Bacterial small subunit ribosomal RNA", at positions 925 to 1382 of the family's 1533-position model. Lineage: Bacteria; Bacillati; Chloroflexota. The record is from RNAcentral.